Non-coding RNA from Vicia faba (fava bean), 252 nucleotides. The record is from the annotation of a GenBank genome assembly. Lineage: Eukaryota; Viridiplantae; Streptophyta; Magnoliopsida; Fabales; Fabaceae.
AUGUCAGCCACCGAUGCUCAAUCCUCCCUCCGCCACGCCUUCGGUAACGUUCUCGUCUUCUUCAUCCUGAUCCUGAUCGCUGUUCUCGCCUUCUCGCCUUCUCGAUCCGUCUCUUCUCCUUGUAUACAGGUUAUAAAAUACGAGAGCUUUAUUCAUGAAUUCGAUCCUUAUUUCAACUACAGAGUCACUCAGUUUUUGUCAAAGAAUGGGAUAUAUGAUUUUUGGAACUGGUUUGAUGACCGGACUUGGUAA